UGGGAUCAUUGUUUCUGUCCCGUAAGUCAAAUUAAAUGAUGAUUCUUCCAUCGGUAUGCGAGGGGUUGUUCGAUAUGCCCAUAAGAUUGGAUAUAGUUCUUCCAUCCAGAGUCUUUAGCUUCAUUCAGUCGGAUUUUGAGUCCAUACAGAAUCGUUCGGUUGGUUACCUCCACCUCUCCAUUUGAUUGUGGAUGGCCGACUGA
This 203-nucleotide long non-coding RNA is filed under the name Elaeis guineensis (African oil palm). Its description in RNAcentral is "long non-coding RNA (EGUI_LNC022439)". The record is from RNAcentral. Lineage: Eukaryota; Viridiplantae; Streptophyta; Magnoliopsida; Arecales; Arecaceae.